Molecule: small nucleolar RNA, 112 nt
Organism: Acanthisitta chloris (rifleman)
Lineage: Eukaryota; Metazoa; Chordata; Aves; Passeriformes; Acanthisittidae
Rfam family: Small nucleolar RNA SNORD89
About the family: snoRNA HBII-289 belongs to the family of C/D snoRNAs. It is the human orthologue of the mouse MBII-289 and has no identified RNA target.
Source: Rfam
GCUGAGGAGUGAUGACAAUAAAAGGCCGAAUUGCAGUGCCCUCAGCAGUUUGCACUCCUUGGGAGCACAAUGACAAAAGUCUUGCGAAGCGAAUCACUGGUCUGACCUUAGU